RNAcentral lists this ribosomal RNA (432 nucleotides) under uncultured bacterium. RNAcentral's name for it is "partial 16S ribosomal RNA". It matches the Rfam family "Bacterial small subunit ribosomal RNA", at positions 29 to 506 of the family's 1533-position model. The record is from RNAcentral.
AACGAACGCUGGCGGCAUGCCUAACACAUGCCAGUCGAACGAGACCUUCGGGUCUAGUGGCGCACGGGUGCGUAACGCGUGGGAACCUGCCCUUAGGUUCGGAAUAACUCCCCGAAAGGGGUGCUAAUACCGGAUAAUGUCUUCGGACCAAAGAUUUAUCGCCUUUGGAUGGGCCCGCGUUGGAUUAGCUAGUUGGUAGGGUAAAAGCCUACCAAGGCGACGAUCCAUAGCUGGUCUGAGAGGAUGAUCAGCCACACUGGGACUGAGACACGGCCCAGACUCCUACGGGAGGCAGCAGUGGGGAAUAUGGGACAAUGGGCGAAAGCCGGAUCCAGCAAGGCCGCGGGAGUGAUGAAGGCCUUAGGGUUGUAAAGCUCUUUUACCCGGGAUGAUAAGGACAGUACCGGGAGAAUAAGCUCCGGCUAACUCCGG